This 1418-nucleotide ribosomal RNA is filed under the name Streptococcus salivarius. RNAcentral describes it as "bacterial SSU rRNA". It matches the Rfam family "Bacterial small subunit ribosomal RNA". The record is from RNAcentral. RNAcentral also lists the same sequence under 1 other name. Lineage: Bacteria; Bacillati; Bacillota; Bacilli; Lactobacillales; Streptococcaceae.
UGCAGUAGAACGCUGAAGAGAGGAGCUUGCUCUUCUUGGAUGAGUUGCGAACGGGUGAGUAACGCGUAGGUAACCUGCCUUGUAGCGGGGGAUAACUAUUGGAAACGAUAGCUAAUACCGCAUAACAAUGGAUGACACAUGUCAUUUAUUUGAAAGGGGCAAUUGCUCCACUACAAGAUGGACCUGCGUUGUAUUAGCUAGUAGGUGAGGUAACGGCUCACCUAGGCGACGAUACAUAGCCGACCUGAGAGGGUGAUCGGCCACACUGGGACUGAGACACGGCCCAGACUCCUACGGGAGGCAGCAGUAGGGAAUCUUCGGCAAUGGGGGCAACCCUGACCGAGCAACGCCGCGUGAGUGAAGAAGGUUUUCGGAUCGUAAAGCUCUGUUGUAAGUCAAGAACGAGUGUGAGAGUGGAAAGUUCACACUGUGACGGUAGCUUACCAGAAAGGGACGGCUAACUACGUGCCAGCAGCCGCGGUAAUACGUAGGUCCCGAGCGUUGUCCGGAUUUAUUGGGCGUAAAGCGAGCGCAGGCGGUUUGAUAAGUCUGAAGUUAAAGGCUGUGGCUCAACCAUAGUUCGCUUUGGAAACUGUCAAACUUGAGUGCAGAAGGGGAGAGUGGAAUUCCAUGUGUAGCGGUGAAAUGCGUAGAUAUAUGGAGGAACACCGGUGGCGAAAGCGGCUCUCUGGUCUGUAACUGACGCUGAGGCUCGAAAGCGUGGGGAGCGAACAGGAUUAGAUACCCUGGUAGUCCACGCCGUAAACGAUGAGUGCUAGGUGUUGGAUCCUUUCCGGGAUUCAGUGCCGCAGCUAACGCAUUAAGCACUCCGCCUGGGGAGUACGACCGCAAGGUUGAAACUCAAAGGAAUUGACGGGGGCCCGCACAAGCGGUGGAGCAUGUGGUUUAAUUCGAAGCAACGCGAAGAACCUUACCAGGUCUUGACAUCCCGAUGCUAUUUCUAGAGAUAGAAAGUUACUUCGGUACAUCGGUGACAGGUGGUGCAUGGUUGUCGUCAGCUCGUGUCGUGAGAUGUUGGGUUAAGUCCCGCAACGAGCGCAACCCCUAUUGUUAGUUGCCAUCAUUCAGUUGGGCACUCUAGCGAGACUGCCGGUAAUAAACCGGAGGAAGGUGGGGAUGACGUCAAAUCAUCAUGCCCCUUAUGACCUGGGCUACACACGUGCUACAAUGGUUGGUACAACGAGUUGCGAGUCGGUGACGGCAAGCUAAUCUCUUAAAGCCAAUCUCAGUUCGGAUUGUAGGCUGCAACUCGCCUACAUGAAGUCGGAAUCGCUAGUAAUCGCGGAUCAGCACGCCGCGGUGAAUACGUUCCCGGGCCUUGUACACACCGCCCGUCACACCACGAGAGUUUGUAACACCCGAAGUCGGUGAGGUAACCUUUGGAGCCAGCCGCCUAA